This 800-nucleotide ribosomal RNA is filed under the name uncultured bacterium. RNAcentral describes it as "bacterial SSU rRNA". It matches the Rfam family "Bacterial small subunit ribosomal RNA", at positions 8 to 798 of the family's 1533-position model. The record is from RNAcentral.
AGAGUUUGAUCAUGGCUCAGAUUGAACGCUGGCGGCAGGCUUAACACAUGCAAGUCGAACGGUAGCAGGAGAAAGCUUGCUUUCUUGCUGACGAGUGGCGGACGGGUGAGUAAUGCUUGGGAAUCUGGCUUAUGGAGGGGGAUAACUACGGGAAACUGUAGCUAAUACCGCGUAAUAUCGGAAGAUUAAAAACUGGGACUUUUAGCCAGUUGCCAUAAGAUGAGCCCAAGUGGGAUUAGGUAGUUGGUUAGGUAAAGGCUGACCAAGCCCGCGAUCUCUAGCUGGUCUGAGAGGAUGACCAGCCACACUGGAACUGAGACACGGUCCAGACUCCUACGGGAGGCAGCAGUGGGGAAUAUUGCACAAUGGGGGGAACCCUGAUGCAGCCAUGCCGCGUGAAUGAAGAAGGCCUUCGGGUUGUAAAGUUCUUUCGGUGGUGAGGAAGGCGUUGUAUUUAAUAGAUACAGCGAUUGACGUUAGCCACAGAAGAAGCACCGGCUAACUCCGUGCCAGCAGCCGCGGUAAUACGGAGGGUGCGAGCGUUAAUCGGAAUAACUGGGCGUAAAGGGCACGCAGGCGGUUAUUUAAGUGAGGUGUGAAAUCCCCGAGCUCAACUUGGGAAUUGCAUUUCAGACUGGAUAACUAGAGUACUUUAGGGAGGGGUAGAAUUCCACGUGUAGCGGUGAAAUGCGUAGAGAUGUGGAGGAAUACCGAAGGCGAAGGCAGCCCCUUGGGAAGAUACUGACGCUCAUGUGCGAAAGCGUGGGGAGCAAACAGGAUUAGAUACCCUGGUAGUCCAC